CCGUAGGGUGCGAGCGUUAAUCGGAAUUACUGGGCGUAAAGCGUGCGCAGGCGGUUUAGUAAGACAGGCGUGAAAUCCCCGGGCUCAACCUGGGAACUGCGCUUGUGACUGCUAAGCUAGAGUACGGCAGAGGGGGGUGGAAUUCCACGUGUAGCAGUGAAAUGCGUAGAGAUGUGGAGGAACACCAAUGGCGAAGGCAGCCCCCUGGGUCGAUACUGACGCUCAUGCACGAAAGCGUGGGUAGCAAACAGGAUUAGAUACCCUGGUAGUCCACGCCCUAAACGAUGUCAACUAGGUGUUGGGAGGGUAAAACCUUUUAGUACCGGAGCUAACGCGUGAAGUUGACCGCCUGGGGAGUACGGCCGCAAGGUUA
Molecule: ribosomal RNA, 373 nt
Filed under: uncultured organism
Description: bacterial SSU rRNA
Rfam family: Bacterial small subunit ribosomal RNA
Source: RNAcentral